RNAcentral lists this long non-coding RNA (1302 nucleotides) under Salvator merianae (Argentine black and white tegu). Its description in RNAcentral is "lncRNA (ENSSMRG00000005590.1)". The record is from RNAcentral. Lineage: Eukaryota; Metazoa; Chordata; Lepidosauria; Squamata; Teiidae.
AUGCCCAGGGCUUUCCCGAGUAGGCCGGAGCCGAGAAGGACAGGCACGGGCGACAGUGUCCAGCAAGGAGAUUCCGGCGGGGGGNACCGGGGGCUUAUAAGCCGCCCUGCCGGUUCCGGUACUGGAUUCCCUUCCCAAAAGCUCAGGGGGAAACCCCGCAGCNCUUGGCCCCUCCCGAAGCGCAGCGGAGAAGAAAAACGGCACGGGGUUGUGCAAAACCGUCCCGACUGCGGAGUCGUCGGUGUGGCCGCGGUGUGGCAGUUACGGACUUGCGACUUCUACUCCCCCCCCCUCCCCGCCCGGCUCUGCUGCCAGGAGGGGGGCAAGUUGGGGGACCUUUGGCACUUCCGCCUUGACCUUGCCGGCAAAAGCGCGGGAAGCGCUCUCUGCACAUGCCCUGGGGCGCCUUCGCCUCGUCCUCCUCCCUCCCUCCCUCUUUCCUCGGAGCCGCUGCCGCGCGCGAGCCGAGCGGCCGCCCCCGGGGCAGGGCCAAGCUGGGCUGGGCCGGGCCGGGCCGGGCUGCCAUCGAUCGGCUGCGGCGGCACGUGGAGCCCAAGGAGCGGCGGCGGGCGCGUGAGCGCGGCGCGGGAAGCAGCGGGCGGGACCCCUCCCCAGCGCGGACGACCCUCCCCUCCUGCCCCCCCGUCCUGCCGGCCUCCGUCGUUUCGCCUUCCUGGCCGGCAGCCCGUGGGGCGCGCGGAUCCGGGCUGCGAGCGCUCUGCGCGCGAUCCCUGGCCGUCUCGACCGCGGGAGGGGAACGAUCUCGCUGUGCUCCGAAGCGGCCGAGACCCCUUCCCGAGCGGGAGUGGAGGGCGCCUAGGGGGAUCUUAAUCUAUAAAUGGCUUUUGAUGUUUCCCUGUUUUGAUGCUGGUACAAAUUUAGAGAGGCCUGUUGCGAAUUGUUGCAGUUUGUGUCUUCGUCUUAGUACGUAUCUGCUUUUAUGAUCUUCGGGAUCAGCCUUUUGGCUUGGAGUUUCUCCUUUGCAAUGAUUUUCUGAACCUCUUUAGAGGGGAUUUUGCGGCUGUAUACAAGCCCACGUGUCGACUUCCCCCUGGGGUGCCCGCUGUCAGAUUCAGGGUUUUAUCUUGGGUCUANGUAGCUUCUCAGGCCCUUUGCUAUGUCUGCGCAGGUGACGUAAGGGUUAAUCCCUGCUUGGCAGCAGAUGAACCUCAGAGGUGCCAAAAAUCUCAAACGACCAAAUUCUCCUCCUCCAGUACCACCUCCCCUUCCUUUCUCCCUGCUUUCUCCCUCCCUCUACCUUGGAGUGGAAUCCAGAUUGAGUUUCCUCUCCUUCUCCUUCUG